UUUUAUGGAGAGUUUGAUCCUGGCUCAGGAUGAACGCUGGCGGCGUGCCUAAUACAUGCAAGUCGAGCGAACGGACGAGAAGCUUGCUUCUCUGAUGUUAGCGGCGGACGGGUGAGUAACACGUGGAUAACCUACCUAUAAGACUGGGAUAACUUCGGGAAACCGGAGCUAAUACCGGAUAAUAUUUUGAACCGCAUGGUUCAAAAGUGAAAGACGGUCUUGCUGUCACUUAUAGAUGGAUCCGCGCUGCAUUAGCUAGUUGGUAAGGUAACGGCUUACCAAGGCAACGAUGCAUAGCCGACCUGAGAGGGUGAUCGGCCACACUGGAACUGAGACACGGUCCAGACUCCUACGGGAGGCAGCAGUAGGGAAUCUUCCGCAAUGGGCGAAAGCCUGACGGAGCAACGCCGCGUGAGUGAUGAAGGUCUUCGGAUCGUAAAACUCUGUUAUUAGGGAAGAACAUAUGUGUAAGUAACUGUGCACAUCUUGACGGUACCUAAUCAGAAAGCCACGGCUAACUACGUGCCAGCAGCCGCGGUAAUACGUAGGUGGCAAGCGUUAUCCGGAAUUAUUGGGCGUAAAGCGCGCGUAGGCGGUUUUUUAAGUCUGAUGUGAAAGCCCACGGCUCAACCGUGGAGGGUCAUUGGAAACUGGAAAACUUGAGUGCAGAAGAGGAAAGUGGAAUUCCAUGUGUAGCGGUGAAAUGCGCAGAGAUAUGGAGGAACACCAGUGGCGAAGGCGACUUUCUGGUCUGUAACUGACGCUGAUGUGCGAAAGCGUGGGGAUCAAACAGGAUUAGAUACCCUGGUAGUCCACGCCGUAAACGAUGAGUGCUAAGUGUUAGGGGGUUUCCGCCCCUUAGUGCUGCAGCUAACGCAUUAAGCACUCCGCCUGGGGAGUACGACCGCAAGGUUGAAACUCAAAGGAAUUGACGGGGACCCGCACAAGCGGUGGAGCAUGUGGUUUAAUUCGAAGCAACGCGAAGAACCUUACCAAAUCUUGACAUCCUUUGACAACUCUAGAGAUAGAGCCUUCCUCUUCGGGGGACAAAGUGACAGGUGGUGCAUGGUUGUCGUCAGCUCGUGUCGUGAGAUGUUGGGUUAAGUCCCGCAACGAGCGCAACCCUUAAGCUUAGUUGCCAUCAUUAAGUUGGGCACUCUAAGUUGACUGCCGGUGACAAACCGGAGGAAGGUGGGGAUGACGUCAAAUCAUCAUGCCCCUUAUGAUUUGGGCUACACACGUGCUACAAUGGACAAUACAAAGGGCAGCGAAACCGCGAGGUCAAGCAAAUCCCAUAAAGUUGUUCUCAGUUCGGAUUGUAGUCUGCAACUCGACUACAUGAAGCUGGAAUCGCUAGUAAUCGUAGAUCAGCAUGCUACGGUGAAUACGUUCCCGGGUCUUGUACACACCGCCCGUCACACCACGAGAGUUUGUAACACCCGAAGCCGGUGGAGUAACCUUUUAGGAGCUAGCCGUCGAAGGUGGGACAAAUGAUUGGGGUGAAGUCGUAACAAGGUAGCCGUAUCGGAAGGUGCGGCUGGAUCACCUCCUUUCUAA
RNAcentral lists this ribosomal RNA (1557 nucleotides) under Staphylococcus aureus. RNAcentral describes it as "16S ribosomal RNA". It matches the Rfam family "Bacterial small subunit ribosomal RNA". Lineage: Bacteria; Bacillati; Bacillota; Bacilli; Caryophanales; Staphylococcaceae. The record is from RNAcentral.